UACGAAGGGGGCUAGCGUUGAUCGGAAUUACUGGGCGUAAAGGGUGCGUAGGUGGUUUUUUAAGUCCGUUGUGAAAUCCCUGGGCUCAACCUGGGAAUGGCAGUGGAUACUGGAAAGCUAGAAUGCGGUAGAGGGUAGUGGAAUUCCCGGUGUAGCAGUGAAAUGCGUAGAGAUCGGGAGGAACACCAGUGGCGAAGGCGGCUACCUGGACCAGCAUUGACACUCAAGCACGAAAGCGUGGGGAGCAAACAGG
This 253-nucleotide ribosomal RNA is filed under the name uncultured bacterium. RNAcentral's name for it is "partial 16S ribosomal RNA". It matches the Rfam family "Bacterial small subunit ribosomal RNA", at positions 524 to 776 of the family's 1533-position model. The record is from RNAcentral.